UAAGAGGUAGGCUUAAGUGUUUGAACAGACAAAUGCCCUCCUCUUGUUCCAGCCCUUUCAUGGGUCCUAGGCUUCUUCCUCCUGUGAUCUUCUGUCUUCUUGGAGCAGCUUGUGUGGAUGCGAUGGUCAUGCAGAGCCCAAGAUACAAGGUUGCCAGGGUUGGGAAAGCAGUGAAUUUGAGCUGUUCUCAGAAUCUGAAUCACAAUGCCAUGUACUGGUACCAUCACAAGCCAAACCAAGGACCAAAGUUUCUGCUCUACUACUAUGAUACAGCAUUGAACAGGGAGGCGGACACUUCUGAUAACUUCCAAUCCAGCCGGCCCAACAAUUCUUUCUGCUCUCUUGAGAUUCGCUCUGCAGGACUAGGAGAUUCUGCCACGUACCUCUGUGCUAGCAGCAGAGACACAGGGAUACAACAUCACCUGCCCUCUGUUCAUAAACAUUUUUCUUUCCCAGAUGCAAAGUUCCCUGCGCCCUGA
Molecule: non-coding RNA, 479 nt
Organism: Phodopus roborovskii (desert hamster)
Lineage: Eukaryota; Metazoa; Chordata; Mammalia; Rodentia; Cricetidae
Source: the annotation of a RefSeq genome assembly